RNAcentral lists this ribosomal RNA (253 nucleotides) under uncultured bacterium. RNAcentral's name for it is "partial 16S ribosomal RNA". It matches the Rfam family "Bacterial small subunit ribosomal RNA", at positions 524 to 776 of the family's 1533-position model. The record is from RNAcentral.
UACAGAGGGUGCAAACGUUGCUCGGAGUUACUGGGCGUAAAGCGCGUGCAGGCGGCCCGCCGUGUCGAUCGUGAAAGCCCACGGCUCAACCGUGGAAGUGCGAUCGAAACUGGCAGGCUUGAGUCCCGGAGAGGGUGGCGGAAUUCCCAGUGUAGAGGUGAAAUUCGUAGAUAUUGGGAGGAACACCGGUGGCGAAGGCGGCCACCUGGACGGGAACUGACGCUCAGACGCGAAAGCGUGGGGAGCAAACAGG